CCUACGGGUGGCUGCAGAGAGGAAUAUUGGUCAAUGGACGAGAGUCUGAACCAGCCAAGUAGCGUGAAGGAUGACUGCCCUAUGGGUUGUAAACUUAUUUUAUAAAGGAAUAAAACGAGGCACGUUGGCCUUUGUGCAUGUACUGUAUGCAUAAGGAUCGGCUAACUCGGUGCCAGCAGCCGCGGUAAUACGGGGGAUCAGAGCGUUGGCCGGAUUUAGUGGGUUUAAAGGGAGCGUAGAUGGGUGGUCAAGUCAGUUGUGAAUGUUUGCGGCGCAACCGUAAAAUUGCAAUUGAUACUGGUAGUCUUGAGUACAGUUGAGGUAGGCGGAAUUCGUGGUGUAGCGGUGAAAUGCUUAGAUAUCACGAAGAACCCCGAUUGCGAAGGCAGCUUACUAAACUGUGACUGACAUUGAUGCUCGAAAGUGUGGGUAUCAAACAGGAUUAGAUACCCGGGUAGUC
This 460-nucleotide ribosomal RNA is filed under the name uncultured bacterium. Its description in RNAcentral is "partial 16S ribosomal RNA". It matches the Rfam family "Bacterial small subunit ribosomal RNA", at positions 338 to 795 of the family's 1533-position model. The record is from RNAcentral.